Pelobates cultripes (western spadefoot toad) is the source of this 849-nucleotide non-coding RNA. NCBI's taxonomy places the organism in Eukaryota, Metazoa, Chordata, Amphibia, Anura, Pelobatidae. The record is from the annotation of a GenBank genome assembly.
CUCUAAUUAGAAUCUUUCAUUUAGCAAGUAUCUCCUGAUAACAUUGUUUCUGUUACAUACCAAUCAUUCAUGAAAUCAAGAUUGUAUUGAAGUAUUAGCUUGCCACCAAUGGGGAUUCUUUACAACGGAGUCAGAAACAGUGUUUUAGUCUACAUCAUUAAAGUUACUGAGAAAAAUCUAAUAUGUGCUCUUUAGAGGGGAGAAAGGAGCUGUGACAAAAAAAAUCUCUUAAAUUCAUUAAGCAAUAUAUGAUUGUACAGGAAGGAAGGAUAUUUCAGAGACAGAGAAGGGCAAGAAUAAGAGGUCAUAGUCUGAAGCUAUAGGGUGGUUGGCUCAAGGGAUAUUUAAGGAAGUUUAUAGAAUUACAGACCAGCAGGGGUGGCAGAGGCUAAAUCAAUAAAAUAAUUUGAAAACACAAGGGAUCGACUUAAAGGAAGAGUAAAGGUUAUAUAUGAAGUGUCUUCAUGCUAGAGUUACAUUUAUAUGUUGCUAGAUUAGUUGCUUCAAACCUUUGACAUUUUUUUAUCAAUAUACUGCCAAUUUUCUUUUCCAGGAUGUCACCCUGACUUCCAUUACUUCCAUCUAAAAGUCAUGUCGUACAGAUAGAAAUGUGCUUCUUCUAGUGUUUAGUUUGGGUAUUGCACAGUCCCUAAUAGUGUCAGCAAUGGAGCCCAAACAGUUCUUAAGAGCUGGAGCCGAAAUGUAAUUUGACUGUGUUUAGCCAUAAAAUAAUAUGCUGAAAAUAUUCAAACCUUCCCAGAAUUAAAAAAACAUUUCACAAAAUAUCAUGGUAUGGUGUUUAAUGGUAACCGGACCAGUGUUCAUUUUGGCUGCAAAUUUUAAUUUAGC